Molecule: long non-coding RNA, 270 nt
Filed under: Nicotiana benthamiana
Lineage: Eukaryota; Viridiplantae; Streptophyta; Magnoliopsida; Solanales; Solanaceae
Description: long non-coding RNA (NBEN_LNC041033)
Source: RNAcentral
CUAACUUCAUUCUCCCUCAACGUUCAUACCAUUUUCCUCAUCCGAAAAGCUGCUGCCGGUCGUCGCUAUUGCAAGCGCCAUCUCCGUAUUGAACCACCAAUGCCCUCUGUCGUGAUCCACUCCCGUCCAGUCCAUUGGCUUACUUGGAUUUUCUUGGUCAAGAUCUGUAAAUUGGCUUUUUUUCAUCCUUUUGAAGAAGAGAAUAAUGAUGGAGUUCUUGAGAUCUUGUUAUUAAAAAUUAUGUUUUGGGGUUAUAUCUCAAGAAAGUAU